Molecule: long non-coding RNA, 932 nt
Filed under: Anas zonorhyncha (Eastern spot-billed duck)
Lineage: Eukaryota; Metazoa; Chordata; Aves; Anseriformes; Anatidae
Description: lncRNA (ENSAZOG00000012821.1)
Source: RNAcentral
UUACCUCAUUCCGGGACAUUUUGCUUCAUUUAAAGACCCCUCCCCUCACACUGGACCACUUUUACCUCAUUUCGGGACCCUUUUCCCUCACAUAAACCCCCCUCACCUCACACUAGGGCACUUUUCCCUCAUUUCGGGUCCCUUUUACCUCACAUAAACACCCCUCACCUCAGACCGGGACCCCUUUACCUCAUUUCGGGACCCUUUUACCUCACAUAAACACCCCUCACCUCACACCGGGACCCCUUUACCUCAUUUUGGGACCCUUUUACCUCAUAAAGGACCCCUCACCUCAUUUUGGGACUUUUUGCUUCAUUUAAAGACCCCUCACCUCAAACUGGGGCACUUUUACCUCAUUUCGGGACGUUUUAUUUCAUUUAAAGACCCCUCACCUCAAACUGGGACCCCUUUACCUCAUUUCGGGACAUUUUAUUUCAUUUCAAGACCCCUCACCCCAAACCGGGCCACUUUUACCUCAUUUUGGGACCCCUCACCUCACACCGGGGCACUUUUACCUCACGUAAGGACCCCUCACCUCAAACCGGGGCCCAUUUACCUCAUUUCGGGACAUUUUAUUUCAUUUAAAGACCCCUCUCCUCACACCGAGGCACUUUUACCUCACGAAAGGACCCCUCACCUCAUUUCGGGACAUUUUGCUUCAUUUAAAGACCCCUCACCCCAAACCGGGCCACUUUUCCCUCAUUCCGGGGCCCUUUUCCCUCAUUUCGGGACCUUUUUACCUCAUUUCGGGACCCCACACCUCACACCGGGCCACUUUUACCUCAUUUUGGGACCCUUCCACCUCCUUUAACCCCCCUUUACCUCACGCCGGGCCCCUUUUACCUCAUUUUGGGCCCCUUUAUCUCAUUUUGCGACCCUUUCACCUCAUUUUGGGCCCCUUCCACCCCCCCACACCCCGCGUUUCCCCCUUU